This 73-nucleotide transfer RNA is filed under the name Mus musculus (house mouse). RNAcentral's name for it is "tRNA-Asn". The stretch from base 7 to 66 matches the Rfam family "tRNA", at positions 7 to 64 of the family's 71-position model. From Rfam's summary of the family: Transfer RNA (tRNA) molecules are approximately 80 nucleotides in length. Their secondary structure includes four short double-helical elements and three loops (D, anti-codon, and T loops). Further hydrogen bonds mediate the characteristic L-shaped molecular structure. tRNAs have two regions of fundamental functional importance: the anti-codon, which is responsible for specific mRNA codon recognition, and the 3' end, to which the tRNAs corresponding amino acid is attached (by aminoacyl-tRNA synthetases). tRNAs cope with the degeneracy of the genetic code in two manners: having more than one tRNA (with a specific anti-codon) for a particular amino acid; and 'wobble' base-pairing, i.e. permitting non-standard base-pairing at the 3rd anti-codon position. The record is from RNAcentral. Lineage: Eukaryota; Metazoa; Chordata; Mammalia; Rodentia; Muridae.
GAUGAGAUGGCUCAGUGGUUAAGAGCACUGACUGUUCUUUCAGAGGUCCUGAGUUCAAUUCCCAGUAACCGCA